This 791-nucleotide ribosomal RNA is filed under the name uncultured archaeon. Its description in RNAcentral is "bacterial SSU rRNA". It matches the Rfam family "Archaeal small subunit ribosomal RNA", at positions 85 to 879 of the family's 1478-position model. The record is from RNAcentral.
ACUGCUCAGUAACACGUGGAUAACCUGCCCAAGGGUCUGGGAUAACCCCGGGAAACUGGGGAUAAUACCGGAUGGAUCACUAGUGCUGGAAUGCUUGGUGGUCGAAAGGCAACGCCUUUGGAUGGGUCUGCGGCGGAUUAGGUUGACGCCGGUGUAACGUACCGGCGUGCCUGUAAUCCGUACGGGUUGUGGGAGCAAGAGCCCGGAGAUGGAUUCUGAGACACGAAUCCAGGCCCUACGGGGCGCAGCAGGCGCGAAAACUCUACAAUGCAGGCAACUGCGAUAGGGGGACAUCGAGUGGCAUCCACCUUGGGUGCCUGUCCAACCGUCUAAAAAACGGUUGUUAGCAAGGGCCGGGUAAGACCGGUGCCAGCCGCCGCGGUAAUACCGGCGGCUCGAGUGGUGGCCGAUAUUAUUGAGUCUAAAGGGUCCGUAGCCAGCUUUGCAAGUCCCCUGGGAAAUCCAGCGGCUUAACCGUUGGGCUUUCAUGGGAUACUACAUUGCUUGGGACUGGGAGAGGUAGGAGGUACUCGGGGGGUAGGGGUGAAAUCCUGUAAUCCUCCGGGGACCACCGGUGGCGAAGGCGUCCUACCAGAACAGGUCCGACGGUGAGGGACGAAAGCUAGGGGCACGAACCGGAUUAGAUACCCGGGUAGUCCUAGCCGUAAACGAUGCCCGCUAGGUGUCACGACGGUCGUGAAUCGACGUGGUGCCGUAGGGAAGCCGCGAAGCGGGCCACUUGGGAAGUACGGCCGCAAGGCUGAAACUUAAAGGAAUUGGCGGGGGAGCAC